Molecule: ribosomal RNA, 497 nt
Filed under: uncultured bacterium
Lineage: Bacteria
Description: partial 16S ribosomal RNA
Rfam family: Bacterial small subunit ribosomal RNA
Source: RNAcentral
GAUGCCCGCUUUCUUCUUGCCUAAUACAUGCAAGUCGAGCGAACAGACGAGGAGCUUGCUCCUCUGACGUUAGCGGCGGACGGGUGAGUAACACGUGGAUAACCUACCUAUAAGACUGGGAUAACUUCGGGAAACCGGAGCUAAUACCGGAUAAUAUAUUGAACCGCAUGGUUCAAUAGUGAAAGACGGUUUUGCUGUCACUUAUAGAUGGAUCCGCGCCGCAUUAGCUAGUUGGUAAGGUAACGGCUUACCAAGGCGACGAUGCGUAGCCGACCUGAGAGGGUGAUCGGCCACACUGGAACUGAGACACGGUCCAGACUCCUACGGGAGGCAGCAGUAGGGAAUCUUCCGCAAUGGGCGAAAGCUUGACGGAGCAACGCCGCGUGAGUGAUGAAGGUCUUCGGAUCGUAAAACUCUGUUAUUAGGGAAGAACAAAUGUGUAAGUAACUAUGCACGUCUUGACGGUACCUAAUCAGAAAGCCACGGCUAACUACGUG